Non-coding RNA from Paramuricea clavata, 738 nucleotides. The record is from the annotation of a GenBank genome assembly. Lineage: Eukaryota; Metazoa; Cnidaria; Anthozoa; Malacalcyonacea; Plexauridae.
AAAAUAUUAUUACAGCUUUUAAAUUUUGUGCGCGAUCCAUUUUUAUUUUGUUGGAAAAGACACACACCCCCCCCCUGGUUCACAAAAUUUGAGUUCGAGAAUUUUUUUUCAUUAUUUUACAUUAUAAGUAUCCAAAGAAGCAAUAUAUAAAAAAACCCAGAUAAAAAUAGGUGUUUUGCGAAAUUGAGAGCAAUUUCAAAUCUGUUCAGGUUUUUUUGAUACACCCUGUAGUGUAGUAAAUUUAAAAAUAGGUACGCAGUGCGUACAUGUUGCAUGCCAUCAAAACAAUGAAACCUCAUGACUCAUAAUACUAUACGGAAAUCCAUCUCCAUUGCUUCUUGUGCAAGUACUAUUUGUCAUGAUUUCUCACUCGGCAAGUACCAUAAUCAGAAGCAGUCACCUCCCUGGCACUGAACAAAGACACACAGAAGGUCGAUUUAGAGUAACCGCUGUCACGUCCCAGCCAGUGCGUGCCGAAGAGGCAUUCCUCCUGGACGUCUGUCAUUUUGAAUAUUAUCAGGGGGUGAAUGCCUCCUAAAAGCACAUCAGCCAGGAUUAUGGCGUCAGCAUUUUGAUGAUAAAUUACGAUCAUGCCAAAAUCAUUGAAAAAUCACAGGAAAAACCAAGAAAUUGGGCUUCUGUAUGACCCACCCUGUUCCCUGGUUAUGAUGCGCUACUGCUUAUAACUUUUGGUACAACUGGCCUAAAACUUAAAAUAUUGAUUCAAUAAGUUAAAUA